GCGGCCGCCGCGGCAGUCUUGCCGGUGGAGCCCGGGCUCGUUUCUCCGCCCCCUCCCCGCCCAGGCUCAGUAAACAGGGCUUGAGAGCCGGGGCCUGCCGGGCAGGGCUGAGUGUCUGAGGACAAGGCGCUGGCUUUGCUAAUCACAUCACAAGACCUUGAGCGAGGGCCAAAGGCGCGGAGUGGCGCGGGACGUCCCGGGCGGGGGAGCUGACUCUGAGGACAGGAGGAAAGGCCGGGAGAGCCGUGCGGGCUUGAAGGCGACUUAGCGCCACCCUUUCCGUCUGCUGGUCGGCCCGGCCUUCCCCAGCCCUCUGGGGCUGGGGGUGCAGCUGCCUGCCGAGGCUCCCCGCCCGGCACAGCCUGGGCCUGUUGCGUUCUUCCAGCCUCUUCCCUCCCCGGCAGUGGGGGCGCCGCGCCCAGCCUUUGCUCGAUGAGGGCUGCAGGAUCCGGCUGAGACCAACCCGCGGCGCAGGUGAGGCUGCACAGACGCUAAUGGUGGGCGCGCCACCCUCUUGUUUUCCCUCACUCGCCAGCCCCACACCCCAACAGCUUGCGCUGGAAAAUGCGCUUUGCCAGCGGGCGCCCCGCCUUCGUCCGGGUACGGAGCAGACACUCCCAUCUAGCGCCCAGUGAGGCUAAAGCCGCUGACAGCCCCACUAGGAACGAUCUGGAGUCUGGUCUAGGGCACUUCUCGCUCCGCGUUCAUACAUACAGGUUGCCAAAAAGCUUGGGCCUGAAGCUCGAAGGUCCCGGACCCGCUGGGGAAAGAACUAGGCCUGCCACUCAGGGAUUCGAGUCCCUGGAGUGUAGCCUGCAUUUCCCGCUACUGUACUCCGCUCAUGGCCCAGGCAGCCAGAGUCCAGGGUAAGAAUCAGGAAUGCUGGGCUGGAGUUCAGGCCCUGCCCCAUAUAAAUCAUGUGGUCUUAGGCAAAUCACAUCAUCUCUUUGGUACUUGGGUUUCCUUGUUAAACGAAGAUAAUAUUCCUGCUUUAUUCAUCUCUCACCUUUGGCAAGGUGCAAAUGAUACCUGUGAAGGUGUUUAAAAGACAAGAACUAAACCAUCUUUAUGUAUUAAACCAAAUUGACAAAAGCAUAAGGGUGGAGAAAGCCAGGCUUCUGAACUAUGGCCAGAUGCACAGACAGCCACAGAAUCACGAGUGCAGAGCUGUGGGGGCACCCAAGUCCUGGACCCUACGACUCACAGCCAAGAGUAGGUGACCUCAGAGGGACCAGUUUCACUUUUAGCACCUACCCUACAUUGACCCCUUGACAUACCUGGGCAACUGUGGUCUGGUUUGUUCUUUGGUGAGAUGACCCCAAACAUCUCACCAAACUGUGAAACAGCCACUUCCCUAGGCACUCCUAUUAGGUUAGUAACAAGAUUUCAGAUACAGAACCAAUGGAAACAUCUGUUUGAAUCAAUGUCCAAAUCUGGGGUGAGUCCCAGUCAACAGCUGUGAGAACACCCACUUUGCAGAUUAGGAUUCUGGAGAUAACAUGUGGACAUGUGAUGGGACAUGCUUGUGUACAGAGUACCUGCUAGUAUAAAAUGUAUAAUGUAGCUGCUUUUAUUUCAUUUUAAAUGGAGAAAAAAAAGAAGUGCUGGCCAUUUCCAAUGAGCUGGGGCUUUGUUGGGCCAGUUUCAU
RNAcentral lists this long non-coding RNA (1648 nucleotides) under Pongo abelii (Sumatran orangutan). Its description in RNAcentral is "lincRNA". Lineage: Eukaryota; Metazoa; Chordata; Mammalia; Primates; Hominidae. The record is from RNAcentral.